CGGGUGAGUAACGCGUGAGGAACCUGCCUCAAAGAGGGGGACAACGGUUGGAAACGACUGCUAAUACCGCAUAAGCCCACGGCUCGGCAUCGAGCAGAGGGAAAAGGAGUGAUCCGCUUUGAGAUGGCCUCGCGUCCGAUUAGCUAGUUGGUGAGGUAACGGCCCACCAAGGUGACGAUCGGUAGCCGGACUGAGAGGUUGAACGGCCACAUUGGGACUGAGACACAGCCCAG
This 233-nucleotide ribosomal RNA is filed under the name uncultured bacterium. RNAcentral's name for it is "partial 16S ribosomal RNA". It matches the Rfam family "Bacterial small subunit ribosomal RNA", at positions 103 to 334 of the family's 1533-position model. The record is from RNAcentral.